UCGAAUAUUUAUUUUACUUCAUUUUCUGAUAAUUUCUUAUCUAAUUAAUUCAUUUAAACAUAUAUGUGUAUGUAAAUAAAGAAGCAAAACAAUCGUGCUUGACAAUUAAUUAUUACAAGACGUGGUAAUAUAUAAAAUCACCCCAAAUCUGUAAACACACACAAACGGCAUUGGAAGAAAUGAACAAAGCUCCGAGAUUCGUCGAGGAUUAAGAAGGCAGCAAGGCUGAGUAUGACAAAAUUCCGGCGGCAGCGAAAAGACAGGCGACGGCUGAUCUCCGGCAGAAUUGGGCAAGCAUGGGGCUGUUGUCGCGCAGAGACAUGGUGAGGACGGCGGCGGUGAAGCCAAAGUUGAGAGCUAUGAGAAACGAGUGAAAGAGAGAGGGGUUGUUGAUGAAGAUGAGGACCGGUACGGGGUUGCCGUCUAUGUACACGUAGCGCGACCGUACGAGCGUGACGGCGGUUACGAUUCCGACCACGAAGAUUAGCUCCUCCACGUAAGAUACCUGCAGAAACCACUUUUUUAGCAUUUUCUCAUUUCUGCCAAAUGUUCUUCGAUUGCUUCUUAUCUAUAUAUCUAUCUAUCUUCUUCAUUAAAUAAUUACCUAGUCGUCUCUUUUGUUUUUAAACAAUUAGCUAGUCGUUUUCAAAGCAAGUUCCACGAAGUUUCUGAUCUGACUUGUGUGUAUAUAUAUAUUUUCGUUUUUCCCCAACCCAUAAUUAAAUAAAUACCCUACAUUUUUGUCUUCUACUUCUAAUUCUUUUCUUCUUUCUAAUUUUUAUAGUUACCUAGCUAGCUAUUUUUUCUGUUAAAUUUGUAUAUUGUAAUUCUUUUAUCUACAAUUAGUAUUCGAAUCGGUUUAUGUGUCGGAAAUAUUUAAUUUCUUAUUGCUACUUAACGCUGUUAAUGUACAAGGAAAGAAGCUUAACCUUUUUAAUUAAAUUUUUGUAGAGAAUGGAAAUUAAUGUUCCAGAGCGUAUCAAAACGUCGACGUUUGCAGAAAUCGUGUGUAGAGCCGUUUCAGGCUCGAGAAAGGACGAAGAAACAACGCCAUGGGAGAUUAUGUUUAAACUGAUAUUUCUGGCGGCGGUGUGCGCUCUUUUCCUUUGUGAGAUUCCGGUGAGAAAUUUGUGCCCUAGAUUCGCACAUAUCAUAGAGAAUUGAAGCUGCUCUUAAUUUUGUCUGUCAAUGCGCUCAUAUGGCUCUUCUGCCGGCGGAGUUGUUUUGGGUGCCUGCGCUUUGCUUUGCUUCUUCUCUCCUCACUUUCAUCAUUGCGCCUUGGCUGCCUUGACUUGAAGCCUUUCUUUCAUUCCUCCAAAUUCAUACGUUUUUUUCCUCCAUGAAUUUAGAUUAGUUAC
Molecule: long non-coding RNA, 1358 nt
Filed under: Salvia miltiorrhiza (redroot sage)
Lineage: Eukaryota; Viridiplantae; Streptophyta; Magnoliopsida; Lamiales; Lamiaceae
Description: long non-coding RNA (SMIL_LNC007972)
Source: RNAcentral